AAUAGAUACCCUGGUAGUCCACCCCGUAAACGUUGGGAACUAGUUGUGGGGACCAUUCCACGGUUUCCGUGACGCAGCUAACGCAUUAAGUUCCCCGCCUGGGGAGUACGGCCGCAAGGCUAAAACUCAAAGGAAUUGACGGGGACCCGCACAAGCGGCGGAGCAUGCGGAUUAAUUCGAUGCAACGCGAAGAACCUUACCAAGGCUUGACAUAUACGAGAACGGGCCAGAAAUGGUCAACCCUUUGGACACUCGUAAACAGGUGGUGCAUGGUUGUCGUCAGCUCGUGUCGUGAGAUGUUGGGUUAAGUCCCGCAACGAGCGCAACCCUCGUUCUAUGUUGCCAGCACGUAAUGGUGGGAACUCAUGGGAUACUGCCGGGGUCAACUCGGAGGAAGGUGGGGAUGACGUCAAAUCAUCAUGCCCCUUAUGUCUUGGGCUUCACGCAUGCUACAAUGGCCGGUACAAAGGGCUGCAAUACCGUAAGGUGGAGCGAAUCCCAAAAAGCCGGUCCCAGUUCGGAUUGAGGUCUGCAACUCGACCUCA
RNAcentral lists this ribosomal RNA (545 nucleotides) under uncultured bacterium. RNAcentral describes it as "bacterial SSU rRNA". It matches the Rfam family "Bacterial small subunit ribosomal RNA", at positions 777 to 1320 of the family's 1533-position model. The record is from RNAcentral.